Molecule: long non-coding RNA, 5711 nt
Organism: Anas platyrhynchos (mallard)
Lineage: Eukaryota; Metazoa; Chordata; Aves; Anseriformes; Anatidae
Source: RefSeq, a predicted model, not a curated record
CCAUUCUGUGAUUCUAUACGUGAACUGGAGAGUUUUGAUAAACAACGGAUGCCUGCCUCUGACUUGGCAGAGUGAUGAUCUCUGGGAUUGUAUUGAGCAGACAGGGUGACCUUGUUUAAAAUGUGGAUGAGAUAAUCUGAAUAUUCAUGAAUAAUGUGGAGUUGGCUGUUGUGUUGACAAGAAAAACAAACAAAAACAUAGCUUUGUCUGUGUGUGUGUGCGAAGAAAGAUUACAGAAAUAAUUCCUUCGGUCCAAUAAAAAAAACUAGGGAGUGUGAUUUAAGAAACAGUAGAAAAGACCCACUAGACAUUCAACAUGAUAGUAGGUACAGUAAACGUUUUAUACUGGGAGUAGCAAUUGUCCAUAAAUAGAUGUAAAUACUUAAAAAUAAAUAAAUAAAAUAAAAAUAAAACAAAACAAAAACAAAACAAAACUAAAACUCUUUUCAAGUAUUUGCACUUGCUGAUGUAAAUCUAACUCUAAAGGAAAAGAGUUUUCAGUAAUUAGUUCCAGAUGUAAUUUUUACAAGUACAAUGAAAAGGUAAUUAUGUUGUAAAUAAUGGGAAUGCUUUUCUUCAUCAAAGUGAGAGUUCCUUUAUUCCUCAACUGAUCAGUUAGCUGGGAUAAGAAAUCCACACUGGGAAGAGCAAUUCUAAACCCCUGUUACUGAUUCUCUAAAUUACUCUUUCCAGGACAAUCAGUAUUUGCUCCAGGCAGAUCCUCUUUCUGAUGAAUGGAAACUGUACACUGAAUACAUAGACCACAUGAUUGUAGAUGGGCUGUUCAAAGUUAUCAAGUGUUCUCUUCAGUAUCUGGCUGAAAGCAGUGAGACAACAUUUAAAUCCACUUCUUUAUUUGAAGUGCAGCUUGUUCUUAAUGGCAGUGAAAUGACUUUUAAACCUUUGGACUCGAUGUCAGUAGCAAUUUCUGUGAUAUUACAGAGGGACUAAUCAAAGACAUCCAUGAUAUUCCAUCUGUAAACAGAUCUGUCAAGUAGUUUGGACCUUUUUCAGGUAUUGUUACUUUUGCUACUUUUUUUUUGUUGUUUGUUUUUAAGUUGACCUUCCCUCUAAGCAUUUGAAUGUAAUUGUUUUCCCACCCGAGUCACCCCUAUCCAGUGUUUUAUGCCACGAAGGCUAACAUCUCAAGAGAAGCGAUGAGGCUUUUCCCAUCUAUUCACUGUGAGCUGUCAUUUUCUGCUGUCCUUAACUUCUGUCUCUCUUCUUGUGUUAUGAAUGUGUCUAGUAAUUUCUUUCAGCAACCAGCACAUAUUCUUUAAAUGAUACUGGCUAUAUUGGCUAACUUUUUUUUUUUUUUAAACUUUUUGAUUCACUUGCCCAAUUGAGUUCACCUUGGCAGUACACACAGAAGUCUGCGGCUGGAUGAUCUGCAAGGCUUGUUCAUGGAUUUACCGUCCAUUUUUGCUUGUGUGUUUUCCACAGGCACUGUGUGGCUUUACACUGUAUGUGUUACUGAGGAUUUGGCAUCAACUGUCUUCUUCUACAGCUAUAUUCCAGACUGUAUCUUUCUCAAGAACUGUUUGUUUCCUUAUGAUUGUUAGUUGAAUGUUUGGUCUCUUGGUGUCUUGUCAUCAGGAUACCUGGUGCUGUUUCUGCUUCCACAUCUGCAAGUACCACUGAGCUUAUAUUAGGAGACUAUUAGAGGGCUGUGUCCAUAGACAGGAGACAGAAGUGGUUUGUGAAUGAAAUAAACACUUUUUUUUUUAGAGAUGUAAUGUUAAUGCAAGUUUUUUUUGCAAGACUGUUUUUGCCAGACUAGUUGGACGUGAAAAAAACUUUAUCCAUUUUUUCAAACUCUUUUUAUGAGAUAGAAACAAACUUAAAUAAAUAAAUGUAUCAAAAUAUCACAGUUAAACAGACUCUAGGGAAAACCAGAUUAAUUAUAAAUUGGUUAUAAUGCAUAACAGUGAAAAGAAACAAAGGGUAAAAUAACAGUUGAGAAUGGGUUGAGAGGACAGAGUGGAGUAUAAAAAGGAGUAGUUGGAGAAAGGAGUCCAGGAAAUAGUAAAGGAAAAGACGGAAGAGGGCUGGAGCAAACAAAAUGGUCCAGAACCUCUGUUCCUGAAAUUCUUCUGGCUUUUGCCAGCUUGAUUUUUCUCUGAAAUUCAUGGCUACUUAUUCUACAGUACUCGGCAGCACGGAUAUGAAGGUUUGGGGAUAUCAGAAAGCAGCAUUACCUGUUGAGUGGACAGGAGGAUUUACCCUGUUCUUUAUGAGCCUGUCACUCGCUCCUGGACUGGCUUUUUUUUUGUACCUAGGACCAAAGAGCAAAUGGAGGAAAUGAAUGUCCUAAACUGUGUUCUCAGACAUAGAGAGCCAAGUUUGCAUAAUCUGUACUCUAUAACUUCUGAAUUUCCUUUUUCUUCUUCCUCCACCAAGUGCUGCAGUCUGUGGAAAUGGAGAUUAUGGUAUUUGGAAUGGCUUGUAUUUGUAAAGCGUGCUUUCUCUGUACCUUUAGAAACAGGAACAGCCCACAGUUUUACUCUGGUCUUUACUGAGUCCAUUACCUUUGCCUGCAAAGCAAUUUCUUCAACCCCAGAUUUAGAAAAGGUGGGGUUUCUGAGUCCCAUUGAAUUCUCUACUAGCCAUAACAGCCCAGUCAGUAGAAGUACUUUCAUCAUCUCUCUGUGGCAUUAAAAAUCUGUUAAUGAGAUAAAGGAAACUUGGUGAAGAUGCCUCGAAUCAAGAUUCCAAUUUUUUGAGGUCUACUAGAAAGUUACACUGACAGCCCUCAGAAUCUGAAUCACAACCCGUCUCACUAGCAAGCGUUGUAAUUUAAAUCAACAUGUUGGAGAAUGUGAGUAAUAGCAAGUGCACUGUUUUGUGUCUAGCUGAUGACAGUAAGUACUUUGAAUUUUUGAUGUUAGUAUGAUGUGUGAAAUAGAAAUUAUAAUACUUGAGAAAUAUGAAUCCAAGCAGUCAUUUCCCAUUAACAUGUUCCAAGGAGCAGACAGGGAACUUUCUACUAACUGACAAGUUAUACUUGUGAUUGCCAUCAGUAUAGUACCUUGGGUCGUGGCACGUGGCUUGGCUUUUAGGACAUCUUUCUUUGAUUUAAUUUUUGUCUCCACUGCCUUUUCAAUUUGAGGUGUUAAUUUAGCAUGAUAUAGAUUAGAUGGAUGCCCUGGAAGAAAUAAGUAGCUAUGAAGAAAGGGAACUUGAUCACUGUUUAUGUUCUGGAGUGUCAAAGUGACUUGAACAAAUAGUGCUACUUAUGGAUAGAUUAUAAAACUGGAUGCAUGAAGCAGUUUCUGCUCUAUGGAUGAGCAGAGCAGAAUUCUUAGUAGAGGGGAGCAGGAUUUCUAUGAAAAUAAUGCGCUUCCAAAAUGUUUUCACAAGAUGUGAAGUAUUCUAAAGAACAGAUAGUUCACUUUUUGCAGAGGUUUCUUCUUUCUCUUACCUGUUAAGGAAAUAUGUUUUGGUGAUUUGUUUAAGACCUACUGUUUGUUGGUGUUUGUUUGUUUGUUUGUUUGUUUUUCUUCUUUCUUUAGAGCCAAUAUUAGCCAAAUAUUCUGAAGAAGUUAGUGAAUCUAAAAAUCAGAAGAUUUUUUUUAGUAGUUCUUUCAAACCAAAUUGACCACAAGCCUUUUAAAUACCAUUGGUGAAUUUAAUAUAAAAAUAACAGAGCUGAAUUUUUUUAAGGAAAACAGCUCAGGUAAUUCCCUUAGGCAAGUUUCUCUGGUUUCUGAUUCAUUUGCGUACGUACAUAAACACAUACAUAUAUAUAUCUGUAUAUGUGUUUAUGUAUAUACAUAUUUUUUAUUUUAAUUCAGAAGGGGGGAUUGAAGGAUCUCUUGAAGUCAAUUCAAGCCCUUUUAGCUAUCAGACAAGGGAGAGUCUUUGCAGACAUGGGUCUUUCCUGGUACCUUGGAUGCAUCCUUGGGAUAAAAGGCUUCUUUGGUCUUCAAAUUCAUCUGGAUAAGCAUCAAGCUCAAAAAAAAACCAAAAACUUGAUGUUCUUAAGAUGUUCAAAAUAUCUUAGAAAUAGUGAUUUAUUCUUUGAUUGAUGUGGACUCACUAUUUGUCAUGGGUUUGGCUUACAGUACUAUAUGAAGAACUUUCAAUGUUUCUAUCUCAUUUUUGGUAUAAAUUUAUUUGUAAAAUGCACUUCAAAAUGGCAGUGUUUUGACCAUGCUGGAAAGCUAGAUCAGGAGUGUUUAGAGCAUGAGAGUGUCUAGACAGCAAUUUGGCUGUGUAAGGUAUGCUGAAGAUCUCUCUGGGAGAAAAGCUCUUUGAAAUGGAUGUUAAUCUUGGACUCUUCUAAAAGGUUGACAUGGAUUGCAGUGCUGUACCCAUCACCUCAGAUCUGAACUAUUUCCUGCAGCCAGACAGCACUCCUCUGCCCCAAUUCUGCAACACUGAGAACCUGAACAGGAUUAUUACUUGAAUCAUGUGCAGUAGAAACAGCAAGUGAAGAGAUGGGCAAGUGUAAAUGAGUUCAUGAUAUUUCUCAAGUGCAUCUCAUCAAGCAUGUGAAAUGUAUUUCUCAUCUUGUUUAAAUAGAGGGGAAAAGGAGCCCACCAACUAAGCACCAACACAAUGCUUCUAUGUUUGAUUUGAUUGCAUUUAUUUGUUCAUUAAUAUAAUUGAUGUGUAUGGUUUGCCUUAAGUUUUCAGGUGCUCUGUGCUAAUUAACUUGACAUUUGCUCAUGUUACGUAUUAUUAGUGUUACGAAAUGGAGAGACUCAUGAAUGAAACUAAGAGAGGUUUGAAUAAGAAAGCGUAAAAAGGAAGGUGAACAGCUUUAGGUGAAAUGAUGGGACAUCUAAUGGCCACAGAAGACCAGGACUCCAAAGAUGAUGUGUUCAAAGUCUUGAAACUGACCUUUUCAGAUCUUUUCAGGAUGGUAGGUACCAGAACUUGGAGGCAAGGAUUUUCUGCAGAUCUGGAGGAAUUACCUGAAAAGUGGAAGAAUCUUAAAAAGAUUGACUUCACUGUAACCAUGAAGUGCUACCUCUGCAGUCCAAUGAAGUGUCUGUUAUCAGAAGAAAACGUGUACUUUUGGAGGAGUAUACAGUGAUCCUUCACGGUCAUACAAUGAUCCUUCAUGAUCCUCAAACAUGAUGAGGUACCUCCCCUACCAGCUUUCCCACUAGGACAAAGAUUACUGACAAAAAAGAUGGAAAAGGUGGAGUGAAGACAAUAAAUUUCUGGACAAAGCAUAAACGUUCUCACAGUGUGUAUCAAGGUGGAAAGAUGGAAAACAAAACUUCUCUGUGCAAAUUAAUGGAGAUGUUGCGAAGUUACAGGUUGAACUGCAAAUGGCUUCCAGCUACAUCUUUCUAAAGUGUGCAUAACUGAUUCUAUAGAUAACUGAAGUACGUCAUUUUUCUAAAGACUGUGUCAUACAGUGUCCAUUGAAAAGUAAGGCCUCCUCUCUUUAUUUACCUUCAUGUAAGGAAAGAGAGAACAUCCCCAAAGAGAAAAGGAUAGAGAGUUUCAGAUGUUUAUUAUUGUUUAAUUUAGCUAAAUUUAGAGACCCCUUAGAUAGUUGAUAUAAGAGGGGGAAAAGAGCCUUGGAAAUUUUAUUCCAUUUAAUUUCUUUUUACUUUCUUGUGGUUACUGCAUGCUUUUAAAAAGCCCUCUAUUUUCUCAUUUGAAUAUUAGUGUAUUUUAAAGUACAAUUCUAAAUUAUUUAUGCACAUGUAAGCAAAAAUGAUUGAAAAGCAGACAAAAUAAAGAAAAACAGA